RNAcentral lists this long non-coding RNA (8559 nucleotides) under Lactuca sativa (garden lettuce). RNAcentral describes it as "long non-coding RNA (LSAT_LNC005119)". Lineage: Eukaryota; Viridiplantae; Streptophyta; Magnoliopsida; Asterales; Asteraceae. The record is from RNAcentral.
UGCCACCUCAUAAUUAUUCAAGGGAUUUCCAUGCAAGAGGACUCAUACUUCCAUUCACCAUCCAAUCAUUCACUCUCUUAUCCCCUCUCUUUCUUUCUCUCGGCCGAAACAACACCCACACACACACUUCACACAAAAGUCUCUCAAAUAAACUCUCUCAAUUCCUCUCCAAAACUUUCGAGAUCUAAGGAAAUUUCAAGAAGAUGUCUCCAUAAAUUCUUCAUCUAAGGUAAGAUCAUGCUUGGAUAUAUGAUCUAGGUUCUUUGUUUUAUCAAAAAUCUCCUUCUAAUCUGUCACACCCCGAAAACCGAAGGCGGAAACAUUUCCGGGGUUGACUCCAUAUUGAGUAUCAAAUCCAAUGCACAUAGUAAGUAAAGUAGAACAACCAUUACAUUACAUAUAGAAAAGCUCACAUUUGUUUCAAAAUUAAGUUGUACAGUUGUAAUACAUAGUAUAUAUAAACAAAACGAGACAAGUCUUCUGCGUACUCCGACCUGGAACAAAAUGAUCUUCGGGUACCUGUUCUAACGCUGACCUGAGAACACAAGCGGUUUGAAAAUCAGCAUAACGCUGGUGAGUUCAUAAGUGGUUUUUGUUUUGUGAAAGUGUUCGAGUUUCCUUUUUGUUUCUGAAAAUGUUACACACACCAAGAAAAUCCCAUAUUUUCUUAAAAAGAUUGGUUUUUGUUCUCAACAUGUAAAGUAUAGUUGUACACUGAAAACACGUUUACUCUUGUGAAAAUGUACAAUUAUGUUAUCUGGUUUGUUAUACUGUUCUGGUUACGUACCAAUGUAUCCCCAGGAAAGUUCUAUACUUUCCUGAUUGUGUUUUUACCAAUUGUAACAGAUGUAAAGUUAUCCGUUUUGUUACACUUUUCUAUUUAUGUAAACGUUUCCCAGGAAAGUCCCAUACUUUCCUGAAUGUUGGUUAUCAAUGUAAAAGAUGUAUUCUGAAACCUGGUUAUCUUGUAAAAUGUGUUGAGUUAUUCAUUAUUACUAUUAAGUAAAUCACUGUUAUCCUAAUUGCGAGUUCCAUAACCAUACGAUAGACUAGAUAUGGCAAUAAGUAGUCCACAUCACCUUAUGACUUUCGUCACCCUUGAACCAUUUCAGUUCGGCUGUAGCUAGCAGCCAGGUGUGGGGUAGUCAGCCUCGUAUAGAUCUAUACACUCAAGUCACGCUCUCUAAUCCCCAGAGAUUCUGGUUACGGGUGCAGUCCUCCACUCGCGUAUCUCUGUGGAGUGUUCACCGAGGACGUGUCUCCAAUCAUACAGGACUAACAAUUUACUAGUAAUAAUAUGAUAAUCCUCCACUCGCGUAUCUCUGUGGAGUGUUACCGAGGAUAUACAGUGUACAAGUUUUAUGAUAAUAACAUGCUUUUAACUGAUAAAAUGUAGAAACCAUUUGUGAAAUAUAUAUAAAACAUAAUAGUUUAUAAACCCAUUUCACAAAUAAUAUGUUUACGUGAUCUGCAUGUUCAAACGAUUAUCAGUUGUAUCAAUCAGUGUUAAAAGCAUAUAAAAUGUGAAGCACACAUGAAAACAAGUUUUGAGUACAAGUAACCCCUUGUACUUUGCUUAUGUUCCCCCCUGAAAACAGUGAAAAACAAUUGAAAACAGUGAAAAAGGGUAGGGGUAUGAACUCACCGCUUAAUGUAGAGAUCGAGUGUCAACGGAUGCCCUGAACUCCUAUGGCCCCUACUUUACAUGUGAUGACACAUAAAUGAGUUAGAACUAAGGUUUUUCCAUGACUAAACAUGAUGGGAAAACAUCCUUAGGGAUUGGAAUUACUAAGAAUAAGUGUCCUAUGAUCCAAACUUAAUGAUUUAUGCAAGUUUAGGGCCAAAAAUGGGUAUUAGAGUGGGUGUAUGGUCUUGAAAAUGAGUGUGCGGCUGGCGAGUGCAGCCAGGAGUGUGUGAGAGGCAGCACAAAAGAGUGUGCGGCCGUACAGCGGGUGUGUGCGGCCGUAAACAGGAGUGUGCGGCCGUACACUCCUCAUUUGAGUCCAUAUGUUGAUUUUGAAGUGUAUGCUCUUCAUACUUGGGAAUUUUGAAUGUAUGCUGCCCCCAUUUGAAGGUGUGCGGCCGUACACCUUCAUGGGAUGAUGAAUAUGAUGAAUAUAAUGAGUUUUAAGCUUGGGAUUCAAGUGUUUACCACUACACUUAGCUUGAAGAUGAAGUAGAUCACGAUUAUGAAGCCUUCCAAGUGUUCUUGGUUAAUGAUUUAGAGAGAGAAAGUAGAGAGAGGGAAGAGAACAUCUAAAUGAAUGAAUGAAGAGGUAUCCAUCCAUAAAUUGAAUUGGGUGUGAGGUUGAGGGUGUUUGCGGUUGGGUGUGUGGCCGUACACACAGGUGUGUGGCCGCACACACCUUAUUUGGUGAGUUUUGGCCCGAUUUUGUGAUACUAAACACUCUCCAACCCUUCCUAAGACUCAUAUCUAAAUUAUACUAAGUCUAAAGCACCCAUAUGAAAUCACAAGAUUUAAUAAAAGACAAUGAACUCAAGUUUUAGUGCUGAAACACAGAUCAAUUACAUGGGUUAGAAGUUUCGGGUUGUCACAUUAUCCCCCUGUUAGAGGGAAUUUCGUCCCGAAAUUCAAAAUUAAGAUACAAGUCAAGAUACAAAUCAUGGAUCUGGAAAGAGAUGCGGAUACUUCUGUUUCAUCGAGUCUUCACGCUCCCAAGUGAACUCCGGUCCCCGCUUGGCAUUCCAGCGGACCUUCACUAACGGGAUGCGGCUUUGCUUUGUACGUUUGACUUCUCGAUCCAUGAUUUCGAUCGGUUCCUCCACGAAAUUGAGGUUUUCAUUGAUCUCGAUCUCGUCUAAAGGAAUUACUAAGGUUUCAUCGGAUAGGCACUUCUUGAGAUUUGAAACAUGGAAGACGGGAUGAAUGUUACUGAGCUCAUGGGGUAAACGAAGUUUAUAGGCUACCGGACCGAUCCUGGCGAGGAUCUCGAAGGGUCCAAUGUACCUAGGGUUAAGUUUCCCACGCUUUCCAAAGCGUACCGUGCCUUUCCAGGGCGAGACCUUCAACAGGACACGGUCUCCAACCUGGAAUUCCAGAGGUUUCCGGCGGUUAUCAACGUAACUCUUUUGGCGAUCUCGUGAAGCUUUCAAUCGUUCUCGGAUUUGGAUGAUCUUCUCAGUGGUUUCGCGGAUGAUUUCAGGACCAGUGAGAGCACUGUCGGGGAUUCGACUCUUGGCUAGCUGUGUGUCCCCCAACUCGGCCCAGCACAGAGGGGAUCUGCACUUACGACCGUAUAGGGCUUCAAACGGGGCAACCCUGAUGCUGGUGUGGUAACUAUUGUUGUACGAGAACUCGAUCAAAGGUAGAUGUGUGUCCCACGACUUUCCAAAAUCAAUGACACAUGCUCUAAGCAUGUCCUCCAGGGUUUGGAUAGUUCUCUCACUUUGUCCAUCGGUCUGAGGAUGAUACGCUGUGCUCAUGUUUAGAUUGGUUCCAAGGGCUUUCUGGAGAGACUGCCAGAAUCUGGAGGUAAACCUGCUAUCUCGAUCAGAGAUAAUGGACGCAGGUACACCGUGCAGUCGAACUACCUCUUGGAUGUAAAUUCGCGCGAGUCUUUCCAUCUUGAAUGAUUCUUUGAUCGGAAUGAAGUGAGCGGACUUUGUCAAACGAUCGACAAUUACCCAAAUGGUGUCGUACCCACUCGGACACUUGGGUAACUUGGUGAUGAAAUCCAUGGUAAUCAUCUCCCAUUUCCAUUCGGGUAUCUCGGGCUGCUGGAGCAGACCCGAGGGUUUCUGGUACUCAACUUUCACCUUGGCGCAAGUCAAGCACUUGCCCACGAAUGUAGCGAUCUCGGCUUUCAUGUUGGGCCACCAGUAUUGUUUCUUAAGAUCUAAGUACAUCUUGUAUGAACCUGGGUGAAUAGAGUAUCAGGUCUUGUGUGCUUCCUCCAUGACAAUCUCCCUGAAUCCUCCGGACUUUGGAAUCCAGAUUCGAUCCAUGAAGCAGUAGACUCCGUCACCUCUGAUCUCAAGUUUCUUUUCCAUUCCUCUCAAGGCUUCGAUUGACACGUUCUCGGGUUUGAGGGCUUCUAACUGGGCUUCUCGGAUUUGCAUGGAUAAGUUGGAAUGGAUGGUCAUCGUCAGGGUCUUCACCUUUCGGCUUGAACUCUCCUUUCGGCUAAGGGCAUCUGCUACCACAUUGGCCUUGCCGGGAUGGUAACGGAUUUCACACUCAUAAUCACUGAGUAGUUCUACCCAUCGUCGUUGCCUCAUGUUCAAGUCUUUCUGAUCAAAGAUGUGCUGCAGGCUCUUAUGGUCAGUGAAGAUCGUACACUUGGUUCCGUAGAGAUAAUGUCUCCAAAUCUUCAAUGCAAAGACUACGGCUCCUAAUUCCAAGUCAUGUGUGGUAUAGUUGACCUCGUGUGCUUUCAGCUGUCUAGAGGCAUAAGCAAUUACUUUUCCUCUUUGCAUAAGCACACAGCCUAAGCCUUGAUUAGACGCAUCGCAGAAGACAACGAAGUCCUCUGUCCCUUCGGGUAGGGACAGAACAGGCGCGCUGCACAAGGCUUUCUUCAACGUCUGGAAUGCAGUUUCUUGCUUAUCACUCCAACAAAAGGGUACACCUUUCUGUGUUAGAGUGGUUAAGGGUUUGGCGAUUCUGGAAAAGUUCUGGAUAAAUCUCCGAUAAUAGCCGGCGAGACCCAAGAAUUGCCGGAUUUCUGUGGGUGUCUUCGGUGCCGACCAAUUCUCUAUCGCUUUAAUCUUGGAAGGAUCUACAUGAAUACCCUCCUCGCUUACCACGUGACCGAGGAAAGUUACCUUCCGAAUCCAGAACUCACACUUGGAAAAUUUCGCGUACAACUUCUCGGAUCUAAGGGUUUCCAACACUAGCCUCAAGUGCUGUUUGUGAUCUUCUUCGCUUCUGGAGUAGACAAGUAUGUCAUCAAUGAAUACAAUGACGAACUUAUCCAGAUAAGGACGACACACCCGGUUCAUCAGGUCCAUGAACACUGCCGGUGCGUUGGUUAGACCGAAGGGCAUCACUACGAAUUCGUAGUGUCCAUACCGAGUUCUGAAAGCUGUUUUGGAAACAUCACUCUCAUGAACUCGUAGCUGAUGGUACCCUGACCGAAGGUCUAUCUUGGAGAAGUAACUGGCUCCCUGGAGUUGAUCGAAGAGGUCAUCUAUUCGCGGAAGAGGAUAUCGGUUUUUGACGGUCAACUUGUUCAGCUCGCGAUAGUCGAUACACAUCCGAAAGGAUCCAUCUUUCUUCUUAACGAACAAUACCGGAGCUCCCUAGGGUGAGGAACUCGGUCUAAUGAAUCCUUUACUGAGCAACUCAUUGAGUUGGCUGGAUAACUCCUGCAUUUCUGCUGGAGCUAAGCGAUACGGAGAUUUUGCCACAGGGGUAGCUCCAGGAAUUAGGUCAAUACGGAACUCGACCUGACGCUCGGGAGGAAUUCCUGGAAGCUCUUCGGGAAAUACAUCAGGAAAGUUACAGACUUCGGGGAUGCUCGCGAGGUCUUUAACUUCCUGUUUCUCGUUGAUUACAUGGGCCAAGAAUGCAAUGCACUCCUUUCGCAGGAGCUUUUGAGCUUUGAUGCAGGAAAUGAUACGAAGAUUGGAACUGAGUUUAUCGCCAUAGAUUACGAGAGUUUGAUCCGAAGGAAGGUUGAGACGGAUGGCUUUUUCGAAACAGAGGAUAUCAGCAUGAUUGGGACUCAACCAAUCCAUGCCAAUGAUGACAUCAAAGCUCUUUAUGGAAACUGGCAUGAGAUCGAUGGGAAAUGAAUGGUCGUUCAGGGUAAGGGUACAACCUACGAAUAUCUCGUUAGCGCUUUCUUUCUCACCAUUAGCCAUCUCGACGGUAAACGUUUCAGUUAAAGGUUGGGGAUUAUGUUUUAGGUUAUGUUUGAACGAAUGACUAACAAAGCUUCUUUCAGCACCCGAAUCGAAAAGAAUACUAGCAUAUGAGUUGUCGAGAAGGAACGUACCCGAGACAACAGUGGGAUCGGCGACCGCUUCCUCCCGUCCUAUGGCUAGGACUCUCCCGGUGUUAUCGGCUGUAGACUUCUUGGGGCAGUUCCUUUUAAAGUGCCCAACUUCACCACAGUUGUAGCAGGCUUGACCAACACCUGCUCCCGAAGAUUGAUUGGCCGAUUGGGCCGGAGCUUUGCAGAAUCGAACCGUGUGCCCCUUCUUACCACAAUUGGUACAUGAUAGUUCUCGGCAGGGGCCGGGGUUGUGAUGAUAUUUGCACUUGUCACACAAAGGAAGAUUACCAGCAUAUCUGCUAGUAGGAGUUGGAGCUGUGGAUCCCACAACAGAAGCAGCAGCAACGGGGGUAGUAGCAGCAUGGACUGCUACAGUCUGCUGUCUCUUGGAGGAUCCUUGGGAAGAUUGACCCUUCUUCUUCUUCCAGAACUUUCUCUUCUCACCACUCCUUUUAGUCGACUCAGAAGCGGUGGUGGUUUCCUCGACAUCAUCACUAUGAUCAAUUAGGGUUUGGGCUAAAGUCUUGGCACUAUCAUAGGUAUCCGGACGAGCAGCUAAGACAUGACCCUUUGUUGGUUGAGUUAACCCCCAAAUGAACCUCUCGAUCUUUUUACUUUCAGGAGUGACUAGUCCCGGGCAGAGAAGUGCGAGAUCAUCGAAUCGGGAAGUGUAUGCAGCAAUGUCGGAACCUUUCAUCUUCAGGUUCCAGAGCUCAUGCUCUAGCUUCUGCAUUUCACCACGGGGACAAUAUUCGGCAAGGAGGAGUUCUUUCAUGGCGUCCCAGCCCAUGGCAUUGGCUACGGGUAGGGUCAAGGAUUUGACUCGGCCAUUCCACCAAGUCAAGGCUUUAUCACUGAAGGUACAAGCUCAAAUUUGACCUUAUCGGACUCAGUACAGGCACAAAUUUCAAAAAUGGAUUCGAUUUUCUCGAACCAUCGGGACAAGGAAAUGACACCACCAGUGUCAUCGAAGGAUGAAGGCUUCGCAUUCAUGAAGUCCUUGUAGGAACCCUCCUUCCGGUGUUCCUGAUUACUUUCUUGAUCUUGAGUACCACCUCCCAAACCACGGGUGUUUAAUUGGGACAUAGCAGCUGCCACCGCGGCGGUAACAACUGUUUGGAAUAACACGGGAUCAAUUUCAGGAGGAGGUGGUGGCGGAGGGUUGUUGGUCUUUGAGCUGGGUCUCUUUCUGGGAGGCAUCUUGAUCUAAUAAGAUCAAGAAAGAGAGGAUGAUAAGUCCUCUGAAUUGAAUCGAGAGAUAUGACAGAUAUUUAUUCCAAAUAAGCGAUAAAGCAGNUGAAGUCCUUGUAGGAACCCUCCUUUCGGUGUUCCUGAUUACUUUCUUGAUCUUGAGUACCAUCUCCCGAACCACGGGUGUUUAAUUGGGACAUAGCAGCUGCCACCACAGCGGUAACAGCUGCUUGGAAUAACACGGGAUCAAUUUCAGGAGGAGGUGGUGGCGGAGGGUUGUUGGUCUUUGAGCUGGGUCUCUUUCUGGGAGGCAUCUUGAUCUAAUAAGAUCAAGAAAGAGAGGAUGAUAAGUCCUCUGAAUUGAAUCGAGAGAUAUGACAGAUAUUUAUUCCAAAUAAGCGAUAAAGCAAAAAAGAGUUAUUGAAGCAGGUAAACUAUCGCUAAUGGAAUGAUCGAGGAUCUAUACGUCAACGAGGAUUCUUACAAAGAAUUAGCUCGAGAAAUACUCCCUUAGUAUUUCAUGAUUUGUUACUACACUGGCGCAAUGUUUGUGGUAUUAGGGUAAGUUCUAGGCAUGCCGCAUACCACAGUCACUCCCAAGCACAUGUUGGCCGUGUCUCGAAUGAAUAUAGUUGGCCAGGCUAUAUUGAUCCUAGACACGACUACAUAACUGCCCAGGUUUAACCGUAGUACACAACACCCAUUUACUUAUGUUUUGUUCUACUUGUAGUUACGGAUCUCGACGGUUCGGUAUACUUGUAUACUUUUGAAAAUACUUAUAGUUUGAAGAUACUUUUAUUUCAGAGCACUUAGGCCCUUUAGUGUUUAUAGUUUUAUACCAUGUAAGGUUUGGUAUACUUUAUUCACUAUAAACAAGGGCUCUGAUACCAAUCUGUCACACCCCGAAAACCGAAGGCGGAAACAUUUCCGGGGUUGACUCCAUGUUGAGUAUCAAAUCCAAUGCACAUAGUAAGUAAAGUAGAACAACCAUUACAUUACAUAUAGAAAAGCUCACAUUUGUUUCAAAAUUAAGUUGUACAGUUGUAAUACAUAGUAUAUAUAAACAAAACGAGACAAGUCUUCUGCGUACUCCGACCUGGAACAAAAUGAUCUUCGGGUACCUGUUCUAACGUUGACCUGAGAACACAAGCGGUUUGAAAAUCAGCAUAACGCUGGUGAGUUCAUAAGUGGUUUUUGUUUUGUGAAAGUGUUCGAGUUUCCUUUUUGUUUCUGAAAAUGUUACACAGACCAAGAAAAUUCCAUAUUUUCUUAAAAAGAUUGGUUUUGUUCUCAACAUGUAAAGUAUAGUUGUACACUGAAAACAUGUUUACUCUUGUGAAAAUGUACAGUUAUGUUAUCUGGUUUGUUAUACUGUUCUGGUUACGUACCAAUGUAUCCCCAGGAAAGU